This 168-nucleotide ribosomal RNA is filed under the name uncultured Clostridium sp. Its description in RNAcentral is "partial 16S ribosomal RNA". It matches the Rfam family "Bacterial small subunit ribosomal RNA", at positions 337 to 522 of the family's 1533-position model. The record is from RNAcentral. Lineage: Bacteria; Bacillati; Bacillota; Clostridia; Eubacteriales; Clostridiaceae.
UCCUACGGGAGGCAGCAGUGGGGAAUAUUGCGCAAUGGGGGAAACCCUGACGCAGCAACGCCGCGUGAGUGAUGAAGGUCUUCGGAUUGUAAAACUCUGUCUUCAGGGACGAUAAUGACGGUACCUGAGGAGGAAGCCACGGCUAACUACGUGCCAGCAGCCGCGGUA